RNAcentral lists this non-coding RNA (45 nucleotides) under Schistosoma curassoni. Lineage: Eukaryota; Metazoa; Platyhelminthes; Trematoda; Strigeidida; Schistosomatidae. The record is from RNAcentral.
AUCUAGUUGAUGAGUCUUAAAUAGGACGAAACAUCCGUUCUGGAU